UAAAGGCUUGGUCCUAGCCUUACUAUCGACUUUAGCCAGACUUACACAUGCAAGUAUCCGCACCCCCGUGAGAAUGCCCCACAGUUCCCUGUCCGGGAACAAGGAGCCGGUAUCAGGCUCAAUACCCCAUAGCCCAUGACACCUUGCUUAGCCACACCCUCAAGGGACCUCAGCAGUGAUAGACAUUAAGCCAUAAGUGAAAACUUGACUUAGUUAAGGCUAAGAGGGCCGGUAAAACUCGUGCCAGCCACCGCGGUUAUACGAGAGACCCAAGUUGAUAGACUUCGGCGUAAAGCGUGGUUAAGCCAGAGGAAAAAUACUAAAGCCGAAUGCCCUUAAAGCCGUUAUACGCACCCAAAGGUAAGAAGCCCCACCACGAAAGUAGCUUUAUUUCCCCGAACCCACGAAAGCUAGGACACAAACUGGGAUUAGAUACCCCCCUAUGCCUAGCCGUAAACAUAGAUAGAAAACUACACCCACUAUCCGCCCGGGAACUACAAGCAUUAGCUUGAAACCCAAAGGACUUGGCGGUGCUUUAGAUCCCCCUAGAGGAGCCUGUUCUAGAACCGAUAACCCCCGUUAAACCUCACCUUUCCUUGUUUUCCCCGCCUAUAUACCGCCGUCGUCAGCUUACCCUGUGAAGGUCUCAUAGUAAACAAAAUUGGCAUAGCCCAAAACGUCAGGUCGAGGUGUAGCGUAUGAAAAGGGAAGAAAUGGGCUACAUUCACUACCACAGUGAAUACGAACGGCGCACUGAAACGUGCGCCUGAAGGAGGAUUUAGCAGUAAGCAGGUAUUAGAGUGUUCCGCUGAAAUUGGCCCUGAAGCGCGCACACACCGCCCGUCACUCUCCCCAAGCCCCAAAAACUUAAUACAUAAAGCCCAAAAUCCGCGAAGGGGAGGCAAGUCGUAACAUGGUAAGUGUACCGGAAGGUGCGCUUGGAAAAAU
RNAcentral lists this non-coding RNA (948 nucleotides) under Bembrops anatirostris (duckbill flathead). Its description in RNAcentral is "12S ribosomal RNA". It matches the Rfam family "Bacterial small subunit ribosomal RNA". Lineage: Eukaryota; Metazoa; Chordata; Actinopteri; Perciformes. The record is from RNAcentral.